This 478-nucleotide ribosomal RNA is filed under the name uncultured bacterium. Its description in RNAcentral is "partial 16S ribosomal RNA". It matches the Rfam family "Bacterial small subunit ribosomal RNA", at positions 28 to 523 of the family's 1533-position model. The record is from RNAcentral.
GACGAACGCUGGCGGCGUGCUUAACACAUGCAAGUCGAACGGUAAGGCCCUUCGGGGUACACGAGUGGCGAACGGGUGAGUAACACGUGGGUGAUCUGCCCUGCACUUCGGGAUAAGCCUGGGAAACUGGGUCUAAUACCGGAUAGGACCCUGGGAUGCAUGUCCUGGGGUGGAAAGCUUUUGCGGUGUGGGAUGGGCUCGCGGCCUAUCAGCUUGUUGGUGGGGUGAUGGCCUACCAAGGCGACGACGGGUAGCCGGCCUGAGAGGGUGACCGGGCACACUGGGACUGAGAUACGGCCCAGACUCCUACGGGAGGCAGCAGUGGGGAAUAUUGCACAAUGGGCGCAAGCCUGAUGCAGCGGCGCCGCGUGAGGGAUGACGGCCUUCGGGUUGUAAACCUCUUUCAGCACAGACGAAGCGCAAGUGACGGUAUGUGCAGAAGAAGGACCGGCCAACUACGUGCCAGCAGCCGCCGCCG